GGGCGGCCGGGCCGCCGGAGCGGAGAGGGCGGGACGGGGAGGCUGGGAGUUGUCCUUCCUUCCUUCCUUCCUUCCUUCCUUUGAAAUCAAAAUCCUCUGCUCCUAGAGGAGCGCAGGCGGCGGCCCCGGCAGGCUUUGCUGUCAGCCGCUACGCUGCGGCGAUCCGGCUCAGCAGCGCACGUGGGCUUCAGGGGCGGCGACCCCGCCAGACCGUACUGGCUGGCGACGGCGGCCGGAGCUGACGCCCGGGGGCGCGCGGCCG
This 262-nucleotide long non-coding RNA is filed under the name Rattus norvegicus (Norway rat). RNAcentral describes it as "long non-coding RNA NONRATT000880". The record is from RNAcentral. Lineage: Eukaryota; Metazoa; Chordata; Mammalia; Rodentia; Muridae.